This 361-nucleotide transfer-messenger RNA is filed under the name Escherichia coli. It matches the Rfam family "transfer-messenger RNA". Rfam says of the family: Bacterial tmRNA, also known as 10Sa RNA or SsrA, is named for its dual tRNA and mRNA-like properties. Its role is to liberate the mRNA from a stalled ribosome. Lineage: Bacteria; Pseudomonadati; Pseudomonadota; Gammaproteobacteria; Enterobacterales; Enterobacteriaceae. The record is from RNAcentral.
GGGGCUGAUUCUGGAUUCGACGGGAUUUGCGAAACCCAAGGUGCAUGCCGAGGGGCGGUUGGCCUCGUAAAAAGCCGCAAAAAAUAGUCGCAAACGACGAAAACUACGCUUUAGCAGCUUAAUAACCUGCUUAGAGCCCUCUCUCCCUAGCCUCCGCUCUUAGGACGGGGAUCAAGAGAGGUCAAACCCAAAAGAGAUCGCGUGGACCCUGCCUGGGGUUGAAGCGUUAAAACUUAAUCAGGCUAGUUUGUUAGUGGCGUGUCCGUCCGCAGCUGGCAAGCGAAUGUAAAGACUGACUAAGCAUGUAGUACCGAGGAUGUAGGAAUUUCGGACGCGGGUUCAACUCCCGCCAGCUCCACCA